Molecule: ribosomal RNA, 772 nt
Filed under: Serratia symbiotica
Lineage: Bacteria; Pseudomonadati; Pseudomonadota; Gammaproteobacteria; Enterobacterales; Yersiniaceae
Description: bacterial SSU rRNA
Rfam family: Bacterial small subunit ribosomal RNA
Source: RNAcentral
CCUUUUUUGCUGACGAGUGGCGGACGGGUGAGUAAAGUAUGGGGAUUUGCCGAAUGGAGGGGGACAACUGUUGGAAACGGCAGCUAAUACCGCAUAAAGUUGAGAGACCAAAGCGUGGGACUUUUUAAGCCACGCGCCAUUUGAUGAACCCAUAUGGGAUUAGCUAGUUGGUAGGGUAAUGGCUUACCAAGGCGACGAUCUCUAGCUGGUCUGAGAGGAUGACCAGCCACACUGGAAUUGAGACACGGUCCAGACUCCUAUGGGAGGCAGCAGUGGGGGGAUAUUGCACAAUGGGGGAAACCCUGAUGCAGCCAUGCCGCGUGUAUGAAGAAGGCUUUCGGGUUGUAAAGUACUUUCGGUAAUGAGGAAGGUGUAUUAUCUAAUAGGUAAUGCAAUUGACGUUAGUUACAGAAGAAGCACCGGCUAACUCCGUGCCAGCAGCCGCGGUAAUACGGAGGGUGCGAGCGUUAAUCGGAAUAACUGGGCGUAAAGGGCAUGCAGGCGGGUCAUUAAGUUAGGUGUGAAAUCCCCGGGCUCAACCUGGGAACUGCAUUUAAAACUGAUGGUCUGGAGUAUUGUAGAGGAAGGUAGAAUUCCACGUGUAGCGGUGAAAUGCGUAGAGAUGUGGAGGAAUACCGGUGGCGAAGGCGGCCUUCUGGACAGAUACUGACGCUGAGAUGCGAAAGCGUGGGGAGCAAACAGGAUUAGAUACCCUGGUAGUCCACGCUGUAAACGAUGUCAAUUUGGAGUUUGGUGGCAUGACUGCUGGGCU